UACUUAUUUCAUUGACGUAAUUAAUUAGUUAUACCAAUCUAACUACAUAUGGUAGUCCACACGCAUUGUGCUUUUAAGUUAACCUUGCUAAACUUUUAACAAGCCAAACAGGGCUAACUUUCUUACUAAGCCUACCCUUAGUUAAGGUACCCACCCACAACACCAAUGUAUUAUCUUAUAAUAUAGCUAGGCAACUAGGCCAUAGAAAACAAGUAACUACAGUGGCAAAAAUGGUGCCAGCAGUCGCGGUUAUACCAUUCACUUAAAACUAAUUUUCCACAAAUCAAAGAUACAACUCAUCUUAUAGACCACAAAACUAACUUAUAGUGUAAAAAGCAUAUUGUAACCAAACCCAUACAAGUCUUAUAAAUACCGUAUCUUAACAAACCACAACAUCAAAACUCGGAUUAGAUACCCGACUAUUGUGUGGCUCAACAACUAAAAGAAUACUACGAGCGAAAGCUUAAACCUCAAACAAUGUGGCGGUGCUUUAUUCCUUAUCAGGGGAUCCUGUAACUUAAUUCGAUAAUCCACGAUAAAUCAAAGCUUUUUUAGUGACUCAGCUUGUGUAUGGCCGUUUAAGCUUGCUCAAAGAAGAUAUAAAAGGAAGCAAUAGGGUUUCUAAUCCCACUAAUUCAGGUGACAUACAGCCUAUAAAAAGCAGACCUAUGGGAUACAAAUAAAUACACUACCCAAUCUGAAUCAUAACUUAUCAGUAAAGGAGGACUUGAAAGUAAGGCUUCACAAUUUUCAUAAUAUAAGCCUGAACAAGAACUAAAGCGCGCACAAAUCGCCCGUCACUCCGGUGCCUAAAAUCGGAUAAGUCGUAACAUAGUAGGGGUAAUGGAAAUUGCCCCUAUUUUAUC
Molecule: ribosomal RNA, 866 nt
Filed under: Lamellidens marginalis
Lineage: Eukaryota; Metazoa; Mollusca; Bivalvia; Unionida; Unionidae
Description: 12S ribosomal RNA
Source: RNAcentral